AUACCGCUGGAUGCUGGGCUAGACACGGGGGCAAUGAAGACUCCGACGCCAAGUUACGGACAACGCCAGACUUCCUGCCUUUGGAGUACAGUUGGGAGGCCUCCAUAUACACCGGAUCAGUGUUUCCCAACCAGGGUGCCUCCAGCUUUUAAAAUAAACUACAACUCUUAGUACACCUGGACAUCUACAGUCCUGUCUGUCUCUUCCAGAGGAUCCACACUGUCCCUGAAAGGUGCUUCCUAAAAGUGUGUUUGAGCUGCUGCCAUUGGAAAGUCAAGCCCCGCUACAAGGAUAGGCAGCAGUACCGGAAGGAUGAUAAGUACUGGAAGGAUGCCAGGGGAAAGCACAGGAGACAUGGGCCGUUCUUGGACUCCAUCGCAUGUAUCCACUGGGUGACAAUCUGCCUCGGGUCCUGAUCCAUUGCCAUGCCGAAACCUUCGGGAGACUUGAUGCAUCACAACAAUGUCCGUAGUAAAUGGAGGGAUGGUUCAUAUAGUUUACCACGUCUCACCAAGUGGGGAUCCUGCCCAAUUUUCUAGGAUACCCAGCUGGUGCAACAUCAAAGCUACCAAAUUCAAGUAGAAUUACAAGUGCUGGCGCAGCACACCACAUACAAGUGAUAGUGACUAGUGACCAAAUUCCGUGGCUACAGCAGAUAAAAUGUGUGUUUACCAAGUCCAAGUAAUGUUUUAUUGCACUCAGGUUCAAUAAAGUCUACUGUGGUUUUCCAA
Long non-coding RNA from Hyla sarda, 731 nucleotides. RefSeq lists it as uncharacterized. NCBI's taxonomy places the organism in Eukaryota, Metazoa, Chordata, Amphibia, Anura, Hylidae. The transcript is spliced from 3 exons. The record is from RefSeq and is a predicted model, not a curated record.